ACCUACGGGACGCAGCAGUGAGGAAUAUUGGUCAAUGGGCGCAAGCCUGAACCAGCCAAGUCGCGUGAGGGAAGACGGCCCUACGGGUUGUAAACCUCUUUUGCCGGGGAGCAAGCCUGAGCACGUGUGCCCAGGCGGAGAGUACCCGGAGAAAAAGCAUCGGCUAACUCCGUGCCAGCAGCCGCGGUAAUACGGAGGAUGCGAGCGUUAUCCGGAUCUAUUGGGUUUAAAGGGUGCGUAGGCGGGAUGCCAAGUCAGCGGUCAAAUACGGGGGCUCAACCUGCGUCCGCCGUUGAAACUGGCGU
Molecule: ribosomal RNA, 305 nt
Filed under: uncultured bacterium
Lineage: Bacteria
Description: bacterial SSU rRNA
Rfam family: Bacterial small subunit ribosomal RNA
Source: RNAcentral